Molecule: ribosomal RNA, 468 nt
Filed under: uncultured bacterium
Lineage: Bacteria
Description: partial 16S ribosomal RNA
Rfam family: Bacterial small subunit ribosomal RNA
Source: RNAcentral
GACGAACGCUGGCGGCGCGCCUAACACAUGCAAGUCGAACGGAGUCAAGAGGAGCUUGCUUUUCUUGACUUAGUGGCGAACGGGUGAGUAACGCGUGAGUAACCUGCCCUGGAGUGGGGGACAACAGUUGGAAACGACUGCUAAUACCGCAUAAGCCCACGGAUCCGCAUGGAUCUGCGGGAAAAGGAUUUAUUCGCUUCAGGAUGGACUCGCGUCCAAUUAGCUAGUUGGUGAGGUAACGGCCCACCAAGGCGACGAUUGGUAGCCGGACUGAGAGGUUGAACGGCCACAUUGGGACUGAGACACGGCCCAGACUCCUACGGGAGGCAGCAGUGGGGGAUAUUGCACAAUGGGGGAAACCCUGAUGCAGCGACGCCGCGUGGAGGAAGAAGGUUUUCGGAUUGUAAACUCCUGUCGUGAGGGACGAUAAUGACGGUACCUAACAAGAAAGCACCGGCUAACUACGUG